AACUCGGUGAAGUUUUGUCAUGAAUAUACGUUUAAAAUAAGUGCACACUGACAGUUGAUUACGAUACAUCUAACAAUUUGAGUCAUUACAGUAAAACAUGGAUUAUAAGUGACUUAUACGCGUAAGAGAAGAUUUUCUGUCGAAAAAACUAAUGUCAACAAUCAGCAUGGAACUGGGAUAUUCGUAUCAAAGGGCUAUUCAUGCAGGAAAAGGACUGAAUAUUACUAUUAUAUGAUGAAUUCCAGCCUGCAUUAAAUACUUUGUUGGAUCAUCAAGACAGAUUUGACAUCCAUGUCUAUCCACAAGCCAGUCACAUCUGAUAGAGAUGAUCACUUAACAUUCUACUAGAUGGGUAAAGAACCUGAAGGGGCAUGAAAACCAAAUCAGCAUUGACUCAGCAUUGAGUAAUUUUCAUCUGUGCACACACUACAAGUACAAACGCAUGGGAACAAACCAAACUUCAAAUGUUGAAGAGUGAAGAAUUAUUGUGAAAAAUUCUAAAUGUUAGAAUACCAUUGACUAAAUAAAACAAAUAGACAUCGAUUACCAACAGAGACUGUUUACAUGUUAUAAUAUUAAAAAGACAUUAGUUGAGAACUUUCACUCUGACAUUUUUGGAGGGGCAUUACCGCCUACUUAGUGUUCUUGUUUCUUUACAUAUUUUAAUUUAAAAGUACAUUCAUUGUUUUUAAAUCUGAAUUCUGAGUUAGUAUCACAAGUAAAAUUUAUUUAUUUGAAUGAUUACAUUUUAUGAAUAAGUCCAAUUAAGCUUUUUACAAUAAAAAGGUUGAUUUUUAAGCAUUUUAUUAGUUAUAAAAAUGUAUAAUUACAUGACAUUAUGUAUAUUUCCUUCAAAACUGAACGGUAAACUAUCAUAAAUUGUCUUUUAAAUUGUUCAUUAGACAUCAUAGAAAAUAUUUAAAAUGAUUUCAGCAGGUUGUCUUGUUAUUAACUAUUUUUUAUGAAUUUAGAAAACUGCUAUAUAUUUUCAAACAUUGAAAUACUGCUCUGUUCCGAAGACUCACAAGAUCAAUCAAAAUGAUUUUUUUCCAUGUGUAUCAAUAAUAUGUUCGGUUGAACUUAAUUUUUCUGUUAACUGAAGUUUAUUUUACCAGAAACUGUUGUGUUUAUUUCAUAAUCUCUGAUAAGGUGAAAAAAAAAUCAAAUAUAGACAAGAUAUUUUUAAUUCACAGUAAAAAAUCUUCAAAAUUUGGAUAAAAGUCCCAUAGUGUACCAUGAUAAUAACUAUGUUAUCGAUAAAAGCUUUAUAAAAGUGUGUAUUACUUAUACCUUAAUUCAGUUUAAAUAAUUAUGGCCUUUAAGGAUUUGUGUUUUCAUAUAGAUUUCCUGUUAUAUUGAGCUUCGUCAAUUUUUGUUGUUGUUUUGUGUUACAUUUGUAUGUACAAUUACUACUUCUAUUUCCUAACUUUUGUCUCAUUUGUCAAAUUGAAUUGUUACAUAUUUAAGUGAAAAAACACACACACUAUUUUUUAAAGAUGCACUCUUACUCCCAAAUAAGACUUAUGAUAAUUAAUAUUAUUGUUUUCAUUUUUCAAAAUGGGUUGAUAGAUGUCAACAAAAAUGUUUCUAAUGAAGGAUCUUGAGUUCAAUUUGCUAAUUAAUAAGAAUGAACAUAAAACAUGGUAUUUCUGCCUUGUGAUACUAUAGUAGACCACAGUAAAUCUUUUAGCAAUCACCAAUCAUUUAAUAUUUGUCAUGCUUUCUGCUACUAUAAACAGGGUGACAAGCUUGUUAUCAGUAAACGAUAUUUCAGUAAAUGCAUUAUUUAGUAAGUAGUUAUUGUUUUUUUUCAUUCAAUUUGAUGUGUGUUAUAAAUACAAUUAUAUGUAUUGAUUUCAAAUAAGAGUUUCACUUUAAAGAUGCUCAUUUAAAGAUAAUGAACAGACAGCAAAAACUAGACACAUUUGAUACUAAUUAUAUGAUUGAUUAUUGUUUUAUAUAUAGGUGACCUCUGAUUUGUUUUGGAGAUAUUCAUAAAUGGGUGUUAUUCUUUAUUGUCUUCAGUUUCUUAUACAUUUAAGGAUUUUUAUAAUUGCUUUUCUGGUAUAUACUACAAUGUAAUUUAAUGCAAAUGAAAACACACUUUAAACUAGACACAUAUGAUACUAAUGAUAUAAAUGAUUAUUGUUUACAUGUACUCUGAUUUGUUAUGAAGAUAUUCAUAAAGGGGUGUUCUUCAUGUUAUUAUACAUUUUGGACUUGAUUUAGUAUUGCUUUUCUGGUAUAUAUUCAUUUAAUGCACAAAGAAAUUGUUUUAAGUGUUCAGUAUCACUUUCACACAUUGUUUACUAAUUUUUUUUGCAUAUUUGGCCUAUUUAUGCUUAUAUGUGCAUUGUUGUAUUUCAAAACCUUUGCGAAAAAUAGAAACAGUAUUAUUUCUUUCAUACAUAGUCUGAUACAUAUUCAGUUUGAAUGCGUUAUUUUUAUCAUAUUUGAAAAAAUUGCCUAUGUCCAAUAAGACACAUGCUGUUUUUGUGUUAAUAUCAACUAAAAACAUCAAUUUUCAACUCUUCUCUACUAUGUAAAUGAAGAAGUUAACAUAAUAACUCAAUUGACUAGAUUUUUAUACAAUUUUACAUUACAUUUUAGUAUUAUUAAACAGCUAAAAACAAGGCAUGUUAUGUUAUAAAUGCAUUUCAUCUAGUAAACAAUGUUCACUUUUUAUAUAACAGUUCAAUAAUUAUGUUCUAUUUAUGUUUGCAACUUUACAGUUCAAUACUUAUGUUCUAUUUAUGUUUGCAACUUUCGGACGAAAUGAUAAUGUUUAU
Mya arenaria is the source of this 2789-nucleotide long non-coding RNA. RefSeq lists it as uncharacterized. The record is from RefSeq and is a predicted model, not a curated record. The transcript has 3 exons. NCBI's taxonomy places the organism in Eukaryota, Metazoa, Mollusca, Bivalvia, Myida, Myidae.